RNAcentral lists this ribosomal RNA (595 nucleotides) under uncultured bacterium. RNAcentral describes it as "bacterial SSU rRNA". It matches the Rfam family "Bacterial small subunit ribosomal RNA", at positions 57 to 643 of the family's 1533-position model. The record is from RNAcentral.
GCAAGUCGAACGGCAGCGCGGGGAGCUUGCUCCCUGGCGGCGAGUGGCGGACGGGUGAGUAAAGCGUAGGAAUCUGCCCAGUAGUGGGGGACAACCCGAGGAAACUCGGGCUAAUACCGCAUACGCCCUACGGGGGAAAGCGGGGGAUCUUCGGACCUCGCGCUAUUGGAUGAGCCUACGUCGGAUUAGCUUGUUGGUAAGGUAACGGCUUACCAAGGCGACGAUCCGUAGCUGGUCUGAGAGGACGAUCAGCCACACUGGGACUGAGACACGGCCCAGACUCCUACGGGAGGCAGCAGUGGGGAAUAUUGGACAAUGGGCGAAAGCCUGAUCCAGCAAUGCCGCGUGUGUGAAGAAGGCCUUCGGGUUGUAAAGCACUUUCAGUUAGGAAGAAACGCAAAGGGUUAAUACCCCUUUGUAAUGACGUUACUAACAGAAGAAGCACCGGCUAACUCCGUGCCAGCAGCCGCGGUAAUACGGAGGGUGCGAGCGUUAAUCGGAAUUACUGGGCGUAAAGGGCGCGUAGGCGGUUUGAUUAGUCAGAUGUGAAAGCCCCGGGCUUAACUUGGGAAUGGCAUUUGAUACUGUCAAGCUA